GUAAGAAAUAUUUAUAUUUAAUUAUUAUUUUCUGCUUAAGGUACAAUUAUGAUUCUGAACAAUUUGUUGACAAUCAAAUUCCAAUUCUUGUGAUUGGGACAAAGCAGGAUCUUGUACUAGAAGUUUAUCCACCUGGUCGAACUAAACGUACUGCUUCAAUUGCAGAAGAAUGUGGUGCUGAUGAAAUUUAUGUAGACUGUAGACAGACACGUUCUUUUGCACCAGGUUCAAGUAAUGCUGUGAAGCUUAGCAGAUAUUUUGAUAAAGUGAUUGAAAAGAAAUACCAAGGUCAAGGAAGUGGUCAUGUUUCUUCAAUUUUAGAUCGAAGAAGAAUUGCAUCUAAUUCUUCUAAACAGUCUCAUGUAGAUUAAUUUACAAUUGAGUUAUUAGAUUUGUUUAUUCCUGUUAUUUAUUGUAAUUCACUAUUUCAUAGUUGGUAACUAUAUUUUUGAAAGAAUAUAUUUUGGAAAAAAAUGUGUGAUAUAUUGUAUUUUAGACAAUUAUAUAAUAUUUAUUUUGGCAUUUAUUGCGGAAAUGUUUAUUGUAACAGAAUAUCUACUUUAUAUACAUAUUUAUGAAUAUACAAAUAUAUAUAAAUAGGAAUUUAUGUUGUUCAAUACGUCUUAUGCAUUCCUGUAUCGGUUAAUUAAUCACAAAAAUUAACAGAACAUAUUUUAUGAAGAAUAAAAUGUCUUUUUUAAUGAAAUUGCUGUUUUU
Stegodyphus dumicola is the source of this 717-nucleotide long non-coding RNA. The record is from RefSeq and is a predicted model, not a curated record. Lineage: Eukaryota; Metazoa; Arthropoda; Arachnida; Araneae; Eresidae.